This 254-nucleotide ribosomal RNA is filed under the name uncultured bacterium. Its description in RNAcentral is "partial 16S ribosomal RNA". It matches the Rfam family "Bacterial small subunit ribosomal RNA", at positions 524 to 776 of the family's 1533-position model. The record is from RNAcentral.
UACAGAGGUCUCAAGCGUUGUUCGGAUUCAUUGGGCGUAAAGGGUGCGUAGGCGGCGCGGUAAGUCGGGUGUGAAAUCUCGGGGCUUAACUCCGAAACUGCAUUCGAUACUGCCGUGCUUGAGGACUGGAGAGGAGACUGGAAUUUACGGUGUAGCGGUGAAAUGCGUAGAUAUCGUAAGGAAGACCAGUGGCGAAGGCGGGUCUCUGGACAGUUCCUGACGCUGAGGCACGAAGGUCCAGGGGAGCAAACGGG